Molecule: ribosomal RNA, 965 nt
Filed under: uncultured Clostridiales Family XIV bacterium
Lineage: Bacteria; Bacillati; Bacillota; Clostridia; Eubacteriales; Clostridiales Family XIV. Incertae Sedis
Description: bacterial SSU rRNA
Rfam family: Bacterial small subunit ribosomal RNA
Source: RNAcentral
GGNGCUCUCCCNUAUGGUCGACCUGCAGGCGGCCGCGAAUUCACUAGUGAUUAGAGUUUGAUCCUGGCUCAGGAUGAACGCUGGCGGCGUGCCUAACACAUGCAAGUCGAACGAAGCAUUUCAGAUGAAGUUUUCGGAUGGAUUCUGAGAUGACUGAGUGGCGGACGGGUGAGUAACACGUGGAUAACCUGCCUCACACUGGGGGACAACAGUUAGAAAUGACUGCUAAUACCGCAUAAGCGCACAGUACCGCAUGGUACGGUGUGAAAAACUCCGGUGGUGUGAGAUGGAUCCGCGUCUGAUUAGCCAGUUGGCGGGGUAACGGCCCACCAAAGCGACGAUCAGUAGCCGACCUGAGAGGGUGACCGGCCACAUUGGGACUGAGACACGGCCCAAACUCCUACGGGAGGCAGCAGUGGGGAAUAUUGCACAAUGGGCGAAAGCCUGAUGCAGCGACGCCGCGUGAGUGAAGAAGUAUUUCGGUAUGUAAAGCUCUAUCAGCAGGGAAGAUAAUGACGGUACCUGACUAAGAAGCCCCGGCUAACUACGUGCCAGCAGCCGCGGUAAUACGUAGGGGGCGAGCGUUAUCCGGAUUUACUGGGUGUAAAGGGAGCGUAGACGGCAUGGCAAGUCUGAAGUGAAAACCCAGGGCUCAACCCUGGGACUGCUUUGGAAACUGUCAAGCUAGAGUGCAGGAGAGGUAAGUGGAAUUCCUAGUGUAGCGGUGAAAUGCGUAGAUAUUAGGAGGAACACCAGUGGCGAAGGCGGCUUACUGGACUGUAACUGACGUUGAGGCUCGAAAGCGUGGGGAGCAAACAGGAUUAGAUACCCUGGNAGUCCACGCCGUAAACGAUGAGUGCUAGGUGUUGGGGGGCAAAGCCCUUCGGUGCCGUCGCAAACGCAAUAAGCACUCCACCUGGGGAGUACGUUCGCAAGAACGAAACUCAAAGGAAUUGACGGGGACC